RNAcentral lists this ribosomal RNA (245 nucleotides) under uncultured Desulfovibrio sp. RNAcentral's name for it is "partial 16S ribosomal RNA". It matches the Rfam family "Bacterial small subunit ribosomal RNA", at positions 524 to 768 of the family's 1533-position model. The record is from RNAcentral. Lineage: Bacteria; Pseudomonadati; Thermodesulfobacteriota; Desulfovibrionia; Desulfovibrionales; Desulfovibrionaceae.
UACGGAGGGUGCAAGCGUUAAUCGGAAUUACUGGGCGUAAAGCGCACGUAGGCUGUAGUGUAAGUCAGGGGUGAAAUCCCACGGCUCAACCGUGGAACUGCCUUUGAUACUGCACAACUUGAAUCCGGGAGAGGGUGGCGGAAUUCCAGGUGUAGGAGUGAAAUCCGUAGAUAUCUGGAGGAACAUCAGUGGCGAAGGCGGCCACCUGGACCGGUAUUGACGCUGAGGUGCGAAAGCGUGGGGAG